Molecule: long non-coding RNA, 548 nt
Filed under: Pan troglodytes (chimpanzee)
Lineage: Eukaryota; Metazoa; Chordata; Mammalia; Primates; Hominidae
Description: lincRNA
Source: RNAcentral
ACACAGAUGAAGAUGACAUCUAUGGAAUCUUUUCGUUGCAAUUGAUGCAUUCUUUAGUCCAGUAAUAUCAUCUCACUUUGUAUCCAAGAGAUCCUCUCUGUUCAUGUAGAAUUCAGCCAAACACUACAAUGGAUGUGGAAUAAAUGAGCAACAAAUAUUGAAUUAAUAAAUAAACAUCACACUUUCUGAUGAGGCUGGAGGCUCUCACUUGAUAGCAGAGGAUAAAGAGAAGAAGAAAAGCAGGAACUACUUUCGGCUGGUAAGCAGAUCUUACAGUACAGUAGUUAAGCAUAUAAUGUUUGGAGCCUGACAGAUAUAGGCACAAAUCUCAAGUCCACAACUAUGUGAACGUUGACUUGUGAGAAGAUCCAAAUUUGCUUUGCCUUUGCCGUCCACCAUGACUGUAAGUUGCCUGAGUCCUCCCUGGCAAUAUGGACCUAAUCUCGCUCUGCCACCCAGGCUGGAGUGCAGUGAUAUGAUCCUGGUUCAUUGCAACCUCUACCUUCCAGAUUCAAGCAAUUCUCCUGCCUCAGUCUCCCAAGUAGCUG